Molecule: ribosomal RNA, 356 nt
Filed under: uncultured bacterium
Lineage: Bacteria
Description: bacterial SSU rRNA
Rfam family: Bacterial small subunit ribosomal RNA
Source: RNAcentral
AGAGUUUGAUCCUGGCUCAGGAUGAACGCUAGCUACAGGCUUAACACAUGCAAGUCGAGGGGAAACGACAUCGAAAGCUUGCUUUUGAUGGGCGUCGACCGGCGUACGGGUGAGUAACGCGUAUCCAACCUGCCCACCACUUGGGGAUAACCUUGCGAAAGUAAGACUAAUACCCAAUGACGUCUCUAGAAGACAUCUGAAAGAGAUUAAAGAUUUAUCGGUGAUGGAUGGGGAUGCGUCUGAUUAGCUUGUUGGCGGGGUAACGGCCCACCAAACCGACGAUGGAUAGGGGUUCUGAGAGGAAGGUCCCCCACAUUGGUACUGAGACACGGACCAAACUCCUACGGGAGGCAGCA